UCCCGGUUCACCCGGGCAGUCUCGUUAGAGUUCCCACCUUCACGUGUUGGCAACUAACGAUAAGGGUUGCGCUCGUUGCGGGACUUAACCCAACACCUCACGGCACGAGCUGACGACAGCCAUGCAGCACCUGUGCAGAGACCCUUGCGGGAGACGCCAUUUCUAGCGCUGUCCUCUGCAUGUCAAGCCUGGGUAAGGUUCUGCGCGUUGCAUCGAAUUAAACCACAUGCUCCACUGCUUGUGCGGGUCCCCGUCAAUUCUUUUGAGUUUCAACCUUGCGGCCGUACUCCCCAGGCGGCACACUUAACGCGUUAGCUACGGCACAGCUGAGGUUGAGUUCAGCUACACCAAGUGUGCAUCGUUUACGGCAGGGACUAC
Molecule: unclassified non-coding RNA, 378 nt
Filed under: uncultured Chlamydiales bacterium
Lineage: Bacteria; Pseudomonadati; Chlamydiota; Chlamydiia; Chlamydiales
Description: contains 16S-23S intergenic spacer region
Source: RNAcentral